UGUAUCUAUGGUGAGCUUUGGAGUGAUUUCUCACUCUAUAAAUAGGGUUGUUCAUUCACUAUUGUAAUAUAGACAUAUGAAAGUUAUAUACACUUGAAUAAGAAGAAAAUUCUCAUUCUUCUAUCUACUUCUCUUUAUGAUUAUAUUCUUAUGGGCUUGAUUUUAUAACACACCUUACAUUAACUAAUAAAAGUUUCAGAAGAUAACUUAGUUUAUUAGACACAAACAGUACAAGGAUUAAUCGAUACACAGACCAACGAUGAACGUUUUUAUUUAGAUCAUACUAUAUAGAUCACGUUCAUAAAGCUGCACUCGUCGAACUGCUAACUACUCGAGACAAAACAUGAUUAUAGUUUCGAGUCAGUCAUACGUUAAACCUUUGGAGCCCACCCUGCGAUGACGUACUUCUCUUCAGCCUUGGUUUUCUGGAACGACUCUCGCUCGAAGAGCAGCUUCAUGUAGUUACGCACAUGACUCAAGCUUUCAGGCACACUCCACUUCUUGAAGUGUCCAAGAGCCACCUCGAGAUGGUACAGUUUUGGAGCCAAGCUCAUAUCAACUGAACAAACAUUCUGCCCAUUGAUAUAUGGUCCAUGAGCCUUGAGAUGCUCUUCCAAAGCCUUUAGUUCAUCAAGGAGAGCCUGCUCAGUACUGUCACUAGAAUCCUUGCUCUUCAGAAAUGAGACGAAGGUAGGAAAUAUUUUCGAGCCCACAGAGGCAAAUUCAGGGGGAGCAAUGAGAGAGGGAUUUGGGUAUUUCUCUUCAAUAAUCCCAACAAUGACAUCAGAAUCUGGGAUCCAUUUGUCACCAAAAUUGAUCACGGGAACUUUCCCUUCAGGGUUCACCUCCAAGAACCAUUUGGGCUUGUCACUAACAUUGAUCACGGGAACUUUCCCUUCAGGGUUCACCUCCAAGAACCAUUUGGGCUUGUCACUAACAUUGAUCAAGUGCUUCUUGUAAGUCACUUUCUUUUCCUCCAAUGUCAGAAGUACCCUUUGGCUAAAUGGACAGUCUCCAAGGACAUCAGGGGCACCCACAGCAGCCUUGACACAAACUUCAACAACCAUGAUUGAUGAACAGAGAGAAUUCUGAAGAAGAUAA
Molecule: unclassified non-coding RNA, 1101 nt
Filed under: Hevea brasiliensis (rubber tree)
Lineage: Eukaryota; Viridiplantae; Streptophyta; Magnoliopsida; Malpighiales; Euphorbiaceae
Source: RNAcentral